UUAUGCUGAUAAGAGCGUAUGGUGGAUGCCUUGGCACUAAGAGCCGAUGAAAGACGUGAUAAGCUGCGAAAAGCUUCGGGGAGGAGCAAAUAUCCUUUGAUCCGGAGAUUUCUGAAUGGGGAAACCUACUUGAGCAAACCUCAAGUAUCCUUAAGCCAAUACAUAACUUAAGGAAGGGAACCCGGUGAACUGAAACAUCUAAGUAGCCGGAGGAAGAGAAAACAACAUGUGAUUCUGUGAGUAGCGGCGAGCGAAAACGGAAGAGCCCAAACCAGCGUGCGUGCAUGCUGGGGUUCGGACCGCGGAAUUGAUUCAACGAGUUUAGCAGAACGGUUUUGGGAAAGCCGGCCAGAGAGGGUGAAAGCCCCGUAAGCGAAAGACGAGUUGACAUGGCGGGAUCCAGAGUACCACGAGACACGUGGAACCUUGUGGGAAGAUGCGGGGACCACCCCGUAAGGCUAAAUACUACUUAGUGACCGAUAGCGCAUAGUACUGUGAAGGAAAGGUGAAAAGGACCCCGGGAGGGGAGUGAAAAAGAACCUGAAACCAUAUGUUUACAAGCUGUGGAAGAGCUUUAUAUGCUCAACCGCGUACUUUUUGUAGAACGGUCCGGCGAGUUACGCUGGCUGGCGAGGUUAAGGACUAAAGGUCCGGAGCCGAAGGGAAACCAAGUCUGAACAGGGCGCAUAGUCAGUCGGAGUAGACCCGAAACCGGGUGAUCUAUCCAUGUCCAGGUUGAAGUUGCCGUAAAAGGCAAUGGAGGACCGAACCCACAUCCGUUGAAAAGGGUGGGGAUGAGGUGUGGAUAGGGGAGAAAUUCCAAUCGAACCCGGAGAUAGCUGGUUCUCCUCGAAAUAGCUUUAGGGCUAGCCUCAUACGAGUCUUGCGGAGGUAGAGCACUGAAUUCCUAAGGGGGCGUCAAAGCUUACUAAGGGAUAUCAAACUCCGAAUGCCGUGUAGAUGAUGUAUGGGAGUCAGACGAUCCGAGAUAAGUUGGGUGGUCAAAAGGGAAAGAGCCCAGACCAACAGCUAAGGCCCCAAAAUGUGUGUUAAGUGGAAAAGGAUGUGGGAUUUCGAAGACAACUAGGAUGUUGGCUCAGAAGCAGCCAUUCAUUCAAAGAGUGCGUAAUAGCUCACUAGUCGAGAGGUCCUGCGCCGAAAAUGUCCGGGGCUAAAACACACUGCCGAAGCUUUGGAAUUGAGAAUUCAAUUGGUAGAGGAGCAUUCUUAAAGGGACGAAGCAGUACCGUAAGGAGCUGUGGACUUUUAAGAAGAGAGAAUGCCGGAAUGAGUAGCGAGAGGAAGGUGGGAAUCCUUCCGGCCGAAUAUCUAAGGUUUCCAGAGUAAAGCUGAUCUGCUCUGGGUAAGUCGGGGCCUAAGGCGAGGUCGAAAGACGUAGUCGAUGGAUAACAGGUUGAAAUUCCUGUACUAUCCUGUAACAGAACUGUGGGGACACAGGCAGAGAGCGUGAGCCGGGAAUGGAAAGACCGGUACAAGCGAGGUAGGAGUUCAGUUGGCAAAUCCGCUGAACAAUCUGAAGACGUGAUGUGGACUGAAAAUAAGUAGGGAAGCACGUGAGCUGACUGUCAAGAAAAGCCGCUAUUGUUUGCAGGAUACCCGUACCGUAAACCGACACAGGUGGAUGAGGAGAGAAUCCUAAGGCCGACGGGAGAAGCAUUGUUAAGGAACUCGGCAAAAUGACUCCGUAACUUCGGGAGAAGGAGUGCCAGUAAGAUGGCCGCAGAGAAUUGGCCCAAGCAACUGUUUAGCAAAAACACAGGUCUAUGCAAAACCGAAAGGUGAGGUAUAUGGGCUGACGCCUGCCCGGUGCUGGAAGGUUAAGGGGAGAGGUUAGCGCAAGCGAAGCUUUGAACUUAAGCCCCAGUAAACGGCGGCCGUAACUAUAACGGUCCUAAGGUAGCGAAAUUCCUUGUCGGGUAAGUUCCGACCCGCACGAAAGGCGUAAUGAUUUGGGCACUGUCUCAACAAUGCACCCGGUGAAAUUGAAAUACCAGUGAAGAUGCUGGUUACCUGCGCCAGGACGGAA
RNAcentral lists this ribosomal RNA (2047 nucleotides) under human gut metagenome. Its description in RNAcentral is "bacterial LSU rRNA". It matches the Rfam family "Bacterial large subunit ribosomal RNA", at positions 1 to 2085 of the family's 2925-position model. The record is from RNAcentral.